Molecule: RNA transcript, 4534 nt
Organism: Oncorhynchus kisutch (coho salmon)
Lineage: Eukaryota; Metazoa; Chordata; Actinopteri; Salmoniformes; Salmonidae
Gene name: palmitoyltransferase ZDHHC3
Exons: 7
Source: RefSeq, a predicted model, not a curated record
UCAUAUCGCCACCUGUCGGCCUUUAAACUAUUAGUUACACUGAUAUCCUAGGUCGGUUUUUAGUAGAUUGGUAGAUAUAUAUGUUCCUAGCAGAGGCAACAAAGAUACUGUUAACUAAGUGGCAACCUCAGGUGUUUGGAACGCCAGAGAACCUUUGGAGCUCAUAUAAAUCUUGUGCACGGAAGGCAGGGCACUUCCUGUUUUUUCCUCCGUUUGUUCCUUGCUUGCCAAAGAUCUUUCUAGAUUAAGUAAUAAGGGAAACGGGCACCCACCCAACCAGGAGGUCUGCACGUAUGGUAAUUUCCAUAUGAAUACCCGGAACAUCGAAACCAAAUGGUUUUGUAGUUUAACGAUGGACUCGACACGUUAAAUGUGAAUCGUGAGACACAUCAAGGGGGUGUACUGCCAACUAACCCCACGCUAGCAAGGAUAACUAGUUACCUAACUAUCUACAAUCAACUACGACUUGCUGUUGUGAAUGGUGUGCCCUAGCUAACGUUAGCGUGCCAGACAAUCAAAAAGAGGACUGUUCUCUGAAAAUUCUUUCCUUGACCACGAAAGGGCAUGCGGCGAGAGCUGCGGCCGCUCUAGAAUGAGGAAGAGUCCGGCAAACCGUUGCAGGGACAUCGAGAGGCAAGCCGGCUACCUGCAGCCCGAGCACUGCGCCCCUCCCCCAACCCUCCCCCACUCCGACACCAUGUGGUUCAUCCGCGACUGCUGCGGCAUCGUAUGCGGCGUCAUCACCUGGUGCCUGGUGUUCUAUGCCGAGUUCGUGGUGCUCUUCGUCGUGCUGCUGCCUGCCAAGAACCUGCUCUAUAGUCUAAUCAACGGUGCACUGUUCAGUGUCCUCGCCUUCCUCGCCCUGGCCUCACACACCCGGGCCAUGUGCACAGACCCGGGUGCGGUGCCUAAAGGGAACGCGACCAAGGAGUUUAUCGAGAGCCUGCAGCUCAAGCCCGGUCAGGUGGUCUACAAAUGUCCCAAGUGUUGCAGUAUCAAGCCCGACAGAGCUCACCACUGCAGGUUCUGUACAGGACUGGUCUAGAGAGCCCUGUCCUUAUUCCACUUGUUUUCUUCAAAUGUUCUUUCCCACCAAUGUUGUCAGCCUGCAUUACCUAUACCUACUGGUACUUACUAGAUGGCUAAGAAGGAGUUCCCCGGACUUUGAAGUGCUUUGAACCUAGUUUCAAGGGACGGAACUGGCUAAAAACAAAGUUGAAAAAGGAGCAACACUUGUGUGUGUAAACGCUGUAUCAAGAAGAUGGACCACCAUUGCCCAUGGGUAAACAACUGCGUAGGAGAGAAGAACCAGAAAUUCUUUGUGCUUUUCACAAUGUACAUUGCACUGAUAUCCCUCCAUGCCCUGGUCAUGGUUGCCUUUCAUUUUAUCUUCUGCUUUGAGUCGGACUGGACGAAGUGCAGUACAUUCUCUCCUCCAGCGACCGUCAUCCUCCUCAUCCUCCUCUGCUUUGAGGGACUCCUCUUCCUCAUUUUUACCUCAGUGAUGUUUGGGACCCAGGUCCAUUCCAUCUGUGCCGAUGAGACAGGCAUAGAGCAGUUGAAAAAGGAGGAGAGGAGAUGGGCUAAAAGGACAAAGUGGAUGAACAUGAGGGUGGUAUUUGGCCAUCCGUUCUCUAUAGCCUGGCUAAGUCCCUUUGCAACACCUGACCACGGGAAGGCAGACUAUUACCAGUACGUUGUCUGAGACGGGAAGCCAUGCUCCAGCACCCGUGCUACCAGCUUGUCUUUCAGGGUGCGGACUGAUGACGCGUACGGGGCGAUAGUCUUCCCACCGCCUGGCUUCACUGAGCACGAACUCUUAUGACCCUUUCUCUUCUUUUCUGUUUUUGGUCAUUUUUCUUCUUUGUGAAAUGUUUUUUUUCUGCUUGUUUUGAAUACCUGCCACACUUUUGGAUAUCUGUAAUAUCUAUUUCCCUUCUGUUUACGAUCACUGCCAAGCCCUACAAAACCAUGAACUGUAAAAAUGCCCCUCUGCUUUUCUCACGUCUUACCAUUGAAGAAAGCACUUACUGAUGUAACCUGGCCAGAGCCUGUAUCUGAGCUGGCUAAAAACUGGGCUUUGCCUUUGGGAUAGAAACGGAAAUGGAAAUGCUCUUAAACCCAAGUAUUUCCUGUAUUUUGUCAUUUCCUGUUUAAGGACUAGGCCUAAACAAAGCAAACGCAUGAGCUGAAUUCAUAUUGUUUUCGUCCGCUGAAAAGCCAAUCAGUUCCGAAAGGCAGAUUUUGUCUUCCAAUGUAGCCGUACCUCUGCCUUUCCAUAAUGUAGCCUAAAUGGUGUAAGCUAUAGCUUUGGUGCCAGCGCCACACUGUUGGGAGUACUAACGGCCCACAAGGCAUUACGUUUGCGGUUUAGAACAGCCAAAUCUUUUCCUGCAAGCUGCAGAUUCUUUGCCUUAUAAGACAAUUGCAAUUGGGUAAAGAGAUUUUUGUAACCUUAAGUUUAAGUUGAAUAGGGUAUUUGCUUCCUGUCACUGGCUAUCAGUCAUGUCUAUGUGCAGGACGGGUCCCCUCCAAAAGGACAGGCUGAAGAUGAGAUUGGGAACAACAAUGGAUUGAAAGUCCAACCGUGGAACCGGCUGGUGGCCGUGGAUGGUUCUGUUGUUUCACUGUGUGGCAUGAUGUCUUACUGUUUGGUGUAUGUGACAACCGUUUCUAUAGAAAAAUGAUCACGAUGCCUUCUGAGAUUUUUAAAUUGGUCACCCAAUAACUAGAAAACUGGUCAAUGAAAUGUACAUAUUUUUUUAACAGAAGCAUGCACUUAAGUGUAAUUCCCUGUGUUCACUGAAUGGAAUUUUUAAAUGUCAUGUCAAAAAAACAGGUUAUCGGCUUGACAUUCUGUUUAUGAAUCUGGCACAGUUAAGCUUUGUGGAGCAAACAUUGGUGAUGCAAUUUAGGCCAGUGGAACAUGUGCAUUGAAGACUGAAAGACCAUACCGCCUGGAAGGAGACUUUUUUUUAAAAGUCACUAUUGUGUACAAUGCUAGCUAAUUCAAACUUAGACACAGACCGGUCUCCUAGAUACAUAGCAGUCGAAGUAGAUUGCCUCGGGGCAAUUAGGCAUCGAUUGCAAACAAUCAAGAGAAAAUUAUAACAAUCAAUUGUGUUCACGAGCCUUACUGUAGAAAGAACAUGGGCUGUUGGUGACGAAUAGAACGGCUAUGGGUUGUGUCCCAAAUGGCACUCUGUUCCCUAAUAUAGUGCACUACUUUUGACCAGGCCCACAGGGCUGUAGUCAAAAGUAAUGUACUGUGUAGGGAAUAGCGUGCCAUUUGAGACACAGCUUAAUUUAUGUGGAAUAUAUUUGCUGACAUAUUCUCUGGUUUUACGACCCACACUGUAUGAACACAAUGGUUAUGUAUUCAUCAAACUAAAUUGUUUGCUAAUUAAAUUUAGAAUACAGAGUGCAUUGGCAAGGCAUGGAUGCCAUUUGAAGUGUGUAUGGACCACGUUUGGAGAUUUGUGCUAUAUUAUAAAGAAUCAAUUAAGAUUGAAUGUAAUGCUACUUUUAGUGACUUGUAUUGUGAAAGUCAACUUUUCUAAGUAGUUUCUUUUUUACCGAAUGGGUGACUUUUUAAAGUUUAAGAUGCUUCAAUCAAAUCUACUACUGUCUCUUUCUGAUUUGAUGCCCAUUUGUUCUUUUAAAGUGGUACACUCUAAACUACAUCUCAAUACUGCCAUCUCCUGCUUGAACUGAUGAACCCUUAUUAUCUCUAUGUAGUGAAUAUCAAAUACUGUGGUUUUUAAAAGUUGACUAUCUUAUCAGAAUGAAUGCUUCUCCAACCAGACUGAUUUAUUUUAUAUUUAAAAUGUGCUUUUUCAGCUCAUUCCAGUUUGCCUUUCCAACUAAUUAUCAGCUGAUCAUGUACAAUAUCAGUAUGCAUCACAGGCAUGUAUUAAUAAUUUGUAGAUCUGUGUACUGGAGUGGGAAGUUCUUGAAUCUGAUUCAUGUCCGUCUGUGCCAGAGUCUCUUUGAGGAGGGCCGGGUGUAAUAAGGGUAUACGAGGUUCCUUAGGAAGAGGCUGGUUUAUAAAGCUCAUGUUACCCUAGCCCCUUUCACACAGAUGCACAAAGUAAACCGCAUGGUGGGUCAAUUUCUGCAACUAAGCUCGUUGGAAGAGCGAGGCUAAACUCCAUACUGCUGCGAACCCAUGCACAGGUACUGUGUGAGAGUGAAGUUUUGCAUCUCACUCAUCUCAAUAUCUGUGGUGCUGCUUGUGGCAAUGUCAAUUUGCUCAGUCUACCUUUUUAAUUACUAUCAAUCAGAUCAGAAGCGCUAAGACUGCGUCCUACUCAUUAACACAGGAUAUGCUGGGAAGUUGUCAAAUCUAUCCUAUUCUGACAAAGGGACUGGUAUUCUCUCAUGUCUCUAUUUAUACACUUUUUAAACACACACACUUGCUGUAAAUAGAUGAUUCCCAAUGUGCAUCUCUUUGAAAUGUUUAUCUGAAUGCAAAAGUUGAAGUUACUUUCAUAUGGAAAUUAUUUACAAUAAAUGUAUUGUUUUUUCAAAAAUG